AUGGCCAACGGUGAGGUCUCCGACGACGGCCGCGCCGUCGAGGUCUCCGGCGGCGGCGACGACACCCUCCCCGCGGUGCUCCGCGGCUUCGUGGACGGCGUCUGGCCGCCGCCCGGCGACGGCGGAGAUCCGCUCCUGCGGCGCCUCCGCGCGGCGACCUGCGAGGCCGCUCCGCGGCUGCGGGACGCCUCCAGGAACUCGGCCCGCGACCUGCUCGCCUGGACCAAGCAGGGCAGCGGCCUCCGCGCCAUCCUCGUCAUCUCGGUCGGAACAAUCACGAUGAUAUCACUGACUGGCCUGCUGAUUUUCAUGUCCUUCCUUCUGGUUGCGACCGCUAAUGCCAUUAUCGUUUCAGUUCUUAUGUCCUUGGCAGCUGCUGGAGGAUUCCUGGCCUUGUUCUUUGCUUGCUUAGUUGCAGUGUAUGUCGGAGCAGUAUCAAUUGCCAUAUUCGUCGUUUCCGCCACUGUUAUCUCUGCAAUUGUUGGAGUCAUGAUUGCUACUGGUUGGAUCGGAUUCUUUUGGAUGAUUUGGUUUGCCGCAAGGAAGAGCCUGGACCUUACCAAGCACUCAAUCGGCAUGACGACCUCUGCUAUGCAGUCGUAUUCGGCUUCCCGGAGUGUGGGGCAGAAGCUCACAGACUGA
Molecule: ribosomal RNA, 642 nt
Filed under: Triticum aestivum (bread wheat)
Lineage: Eukaryota; Viridiplantae; Streptophyta; Magnoliopsida; Poales; Poaceae
Description: partial small subunit ribosomal RNA
Source: RNAcentral